UGUGGGAUCUUAUCUGAUCUCCAGUCCGUUUCCGAGCAUGGUGUUUUAGGGCUUUCCUUUUUUUUUCGGCUUUUAGCGUGUGGGGUGUUCGGCCAGAUCUGGUUAUGGGUCUCUCCGCGGAUCCUUGUUGUCUGUAGGAUCGUCGAGACCUUUUAUGUUGGUUAUGUUGAACUGCCAGUCGGCCAUUAACUGCUGGAAAAAUAAGAUAGGGAGCUUUUCUUGAAAUGCGACCCUCUUUUUACCCUGUAUCGCUCGUUCAUUUCUCUGGUUCUUGGUUCUUGGUUCUUGAUCUGGCGAUUCUCCGGCGAUUUUCCGGCGAUUCUUGGAUCUGUGUUUCCUGAAUGUGAAACCUUGAAAUGUGGGGUAGAUGACGACGUUUCUGGCUUGACCCUCGCGUUGACGUGCGCGUGCUUGAUGCGUUUUCGGAUCG
Molecule: long non-coding RNA, 430 nt
Filed under: Eucalyptus grandis
Lineage: Eukaryota; Viridiplantae; Streptophyta; Magnoliopsida; Myrtales; Myrtaceae
Description: long non-coding RNA (EGRA_LNC004308)
Source: RNAcentral